GAUGAUGGCGUGUCAGCGGCAGGGGUAAUACGGAGGGUGCUAGCGUUAUCCUGAUUGAUUGGGUUUAAAGUGUGCGUAGGUGGUUUGAUAAGUCAGCGGUGAAAGUUUGCAGCUUAACUGUAAAAAUGCCGUUGAAACUGUCGGACUUGAGUGUAAAUGAGGUAGGCGGAAUGCGUGGUGUAGCGGUGAAAUGCAUAGAUAUCACGCAGAACUCCGAUUGCGAAGGCAGCUUACUAAGCUACAACUGACACUGAAGCACGAAAGCGUGGGGAUCAAACAGGAUUAGAUACCCGUGUAGUC
This 300-nucleotide ribosomal RNA is filed under the name uncultured Lactobacillus sp. RNAcentral's name for it is "bacterial SSU rRNA". It matches the Rfam family "Bacterial small subunit ribosomal RNA", at positions 496 to 795 of the family's 1533-position model. The record is from RNAcentral. Lineage: Bacteria; Bacillati; Bacillota; Bacilli; Lactobacillales; Lactobacillaceae.